GUCAGUAUUGAAAAAUUGUCAGUUCUCCUUCAAUUGAUCUCUAAAACAAUAAGAUCUCAAUUAACAGUGCGAUUUUUUUUUUUUUUUUUUUGGUAUGUGUGUGUGAAACUUGAUGAGCUGAUUUCUGUAGCUCAUCUGGAGGAGACAGGUGGCAAGAUUUCCACUGAGCUAAUGUUUCAGUGAGCCAACGGAACAGACCCGUCUAGCAUCUAGAAGAAACUAUGAGAAGCAGCAAAAUGCUACCCAAGACUAAGUUUCAGGAAACUUCUCCUGGCUCCUUCUUGCUCCCCGGGGGUUUAAGUACUGGAGACAGCGAGAGCUCAGAAUGAUUCCCUUCUCCUGGUUCUCACACCUUCUGGUAAUUUCCCACCGUGUGCCAUGCCAGUGUUGUCCAACACUAGGAGCUAAGGGAGAUCAUAUUUCCACUGCUUUUGUGCCCUGGCCACCUGGCACACGCCUGAUUGAUCCAUAGCAAGUAACCACAAUAUGUUGUUGGAUAAAUAGCUCUCAUCAGUACAGAG
Molecule: long non-coding RNA, 521 nt
Filed under: Mus spicilegus (steppe mouse)
Lineage: Eukaryota; Metazoa; Chordata; Mammalia; Rodentia; Muridae
Description: lncRNA (ENSMSIG00000002280.1)
Source: RNAcentral